ACACUAUCAUUAACUGAAUCCAUAGGUUAAUGAGGCGAACCGGGGGAACUGAAACAUCUAAGUACCCCGAGGAAAAGAAAUCAACCGAGAUUCCCCCAGUAGCGGCGAGCGAACGGGGAGGAGCCCAGAGCCUGAAUCAGUGUGUGUGUUAGUGGAAGCGUCUGGAAAGGCGCGCGAUACAGGGUGACAGCCCCGUACACAAAAAUGCACAUACUGUGAGCUCGAUGAGUAGGGCGGGACACGUGGUAUCCUGUCUGAAUAUGGGGGGACCAUCCUCCAAGGCUAAAUACUCCUGACUGACCGAUAGUGAACCAGUACCGUGAGGGAAAGGCGAAAAGAACCCCGGCGAGGGGAGUGAAAAAGAACCUGAAACCGUGUACGUACAAGCAGUGGGAGCCUCUUAAUGGGGUGACUGCGUACCUUUUGUAUAAUGGGUCAGCGACUUAUAUUCUGUAGCAAGGUUAACCGAAUAGGGGAGCCGAAGGGAAACCGAGUCUUAACUGGGCGUUAAGUUGCAGGGUAUAGACCCGAAACCCGGUGAUCUAGCCAUGGGCAGGUUGAAGGUUGGGUAACACUAACUGGAGGACCGAACCGACUAAUGUUGAAAAAUUAGCGGAUGACUUGUGGCUGGGGGUGAAAGGCCAAUCAAACCGGGAGAUAGCUGGUUCUCCCCGAAAGCUAUUUAGGUAGCGCCUCGUGAAUUCAUCUCCGGGGGUAGAGCACUGUUUCGGCAAGGGGGUCAUCCCGACUUACCAACCCGAUGCAAACUGCGAAUACCGGAGAAUGUUAUCACGGGAGACACACGGCGGGUGCUAACGUCCGUCGUGAAGAGGGAAACAACCCAGACCGCCAGCUAAGGUCCCAAAGUCAUGGUUAAGUGGGAAACGAUGUGGGAAGGCCCAGACAGCCAGGAUGUUGGCUUAGAAGCAGCCAUCAUUUAAAGAAAGCGUAAUAGCUCACUGGUCGAGUCGGCCUGCGCGGAAGAUGUAACGGGGCUAAACCAUGCACCGAAGCUGCGGCAGCGACGCUUAUGCGUUGUUGGGUAGGGGAGCGUUCUGUAAGCCUGUGAAGGUGGCCUGUGAGGGUUGCUGGAGGUAUCAGAAGUGCGAAUGCUGACAUAAGUAACGAUAAAGCGGGUGAAAAGCCCGCUCGCCGGAAGACCAAGGGUUCCUGUCCAACGUUAAUCGGGGCAGGGUGAGUCGACCCCUAAGGCGAGGCCGAAAGGCGUAGUCGAUGGGAAACAGGUUAAUAUUCCUGUACUUGGUGUUACUGCGAAGGGGGGACGGAGAAGGCUAUGUUGGCCGGGCGACGGUUGUCCCGGUUUAAGCGUGUAGGCUGGUUUUCCAGGCAAAUCCGGAAAAUCAAGGCUGAGGCGUGAUGACGAGGCACUACGGUGCUGAAGCGACAAAUGCCCUGCUUCCAGGAAAAGCCUCUAAGCAUCAGGUAACAUUAAAUCGUACCCCAAACCGACACAGGUGGUCAGGUAGAGAAUACCAAGGCGCUUGAGAGAACUCGGGUGAAGGAACUAGGCAAAAUGGUGCCGUAACUUCGGGAGAAGGCACGCUGAUAUGUAGGUGAAGCGACUUGCUCGUGGAGCUGAAAUCAGUCGAAGAUACCAGCUGGCUGCAACUGUUUAUUAAAAACACAGCACUGUGCAAACACGAAAGUGGACGUAUACGGUGUGACGCCUGCCCGGUGCCGGAAGGUUAAUUGAUGGGGUUAGCGGUAACGCGAAGCUCUUGAUCGAAGCCCCGGUAAACGGCGGCCGUAACUAUAACGGUCCUAAGGUAGCGAAAUUCCUUGUCGGGUAAGUUCCGACCUGCACGAAUGGCGUAAUGAUGGCCAGGCUGUCUCCACCCGAGACUCAGUGAAAUUGAACUCGCUGUGAAGAUGCAGUGUACCCGCGGCAAGACGGAAAGACCCCGUGAACCUUUACUAUAGCUUGACACUGAACAUUGAGCCUUGAUGUGUAGGAUAGGUGGGAGGCUUUGAAGUGUGGACGCCAGUCUGCAUGGAGCCGACCUUGAAAUACCACCCUUUAAUGUUUGAUGUUCUAACGUGGGCCCCUUACCGGGGUUGCGGACAGUGUCUGGUGGGUAGUUUGACUGGGGCGGUCUCCUCCUAAAGAGUAACGGAGGAGCACGAAGGUUGGCUAAUCCUGGUCGGACAUCAGGAGGUUAGUGCAAUGGCAUAAGCCAGCUUGACUGCGAGCGUGACGGCGCGAGCAGGUGCGAAAGCAGGUCAUAGUGAUCCGGUGGUUCUGAAUGGAAGGGCCAUCGCUCAACGGAUAAAAGGUACUCCGGGGAUAACAGGCUGAUACCGCCCAAGAGUUCAUAUCGACGGCGGUGUUUGGCACCUCGAUGUCGGCUCAUCACAUCCUGGGGCUGAAGUAGGUCCCAAGGGUAUGGCUGUUCGCCAUUUAAAGUGGUACGCGAGCUGGGUUUAGAACGUCGUGAGACAGUUCGGUCCCUAUCUGCCGUGGGCGCUGGAGAACUGAGGGGGGCUGCUCCUAGUACGAGAGGACCGGAGUGGACGCAUCACUGGUGUUCGGGUUGUCAUGCCAAUGGCACUGCCCGGUAGCUAAAUGCGGAAGAGAUAAGUGCUGAAAGCAUCUAAGCACGAAACUUGCCCCGAGAUGAGUUCUCCCUGACUCCUUGAGAGUCCUGAAGGAACGUUGAAGACGACGACGUUGAUAGGCCGGGUGUGUAAGCGCAGCGAUGCGUUGAGCUAACCGGUACUAAUGAACCGUGAGGCUUAACCUU
This 2762-nucleotide ribosomal RNA is filed under the name Escherichia coli. RNAcentral's name for it is "bacterial LSU rRNA". It matches the Rfam family "Bacterial large subunit ribosomal RNA". Lineage: Bacteria; Pseudomonadati; Pseudomonadota; Gammaproteobacteria; Enterobacterales; Enterobacteriaceae. The record is from RNAcentral.